CAGCAGCCACGGUAAUACAGAGGAUGCAAGCGUUAUCCGGAAUGAUUGGGCGUAAAGCGUCUGUAGGUGGCUUUUCAAGUCCGCCGUCAAAUCCCAGGGCUCGACCCUGGACAGGCGGUGGAAACUACCAAGCUAGAGUACGGUAGGGGCAGAGGGAAUUUCCGGUGGAGCGGUGAAAUGCGUUGAGAUCGAAAAGAACACCAACGACGAAAGCACUCUGCUGGGUCGACACUGACACUGAGAGACGAAAGCUAGGGGAGCAAAUGGGAUUAGAUACCCGUGUAGUCCCUGUCUCUUAUAC
RNAcentral lists this ribosomal RNA (301 nucleotides) under uncultured bacterium. RNAcentral describes it as "partial 16S ribosomal RNA". It matches the Rfam family "Bacterial small subunit ribosomal RNA", at positions 509 to 807 of the family's 1533-position model. The record is from RNAcentral.